CUCUCUUUUACUGCUAUCUGCAUCUAUCAUAACAGAGGCUAUGUAGCUGUGUUCUACAGUCCCUUAGGGAAAAUGUAAGGAACACAUCCCCUACUUCACCAUAUUGCUUAUUUCACAACAUUGUCAUCAAGAAGGAGUUUAUUGGGAAAAACGUGAUCUUCAACUUUUAUCCCCUUUCUUCAACCAGAGGCAGAAGUUCCAGAUGCAACAACAAAAGUAAUUUUCAUACUAUUUCCAUCUUCUGUGAAGACAGAAACUACCAGAAAUUUUGCAAAGAAGCCAGCUCUCAACACACGUUCAAUUUGGUUUCUCACCCAAAGAGAUUCAGAUAAGCAUCAAUUGGCACAUGAGAGUGAGUGUUUGAGCAGAAGGCCUUCAUAAACAUCUAGGAGAAAUGUCCUGCUAAAUUGUGUGUGGGGAAGAGUUACAGAUCCUUGUGAAUGAUCUGUGAACAAUAAGAGAAAUUUGAGAAUUGAUGGAUAUUAGUGAAGGACAGAUUUUCAAAAUUUGGGACCUAUGUUUUGUUUGCCAAAUUUAUGCACACAGCUGAUUUGAGAUUGGGUUAAACAAUAAGCAAUCAUGGAGGAAUAAUGUGAGAAAUCCAAGGUGACUGCCAACAAAACAUUCAGAACAAUGCUCUCAGCCUUGCAGCUCCUAUCUCUUAUUUUCAGUUACUUAAACUGCUCUUUCUGCUCUUUAUAGUGAUGUUUCAAUUGUUGUAAUCUAUAAAUGAAAACCAACAAGAACCAGAAUAAUCUGUGCAAAUGUGUUCCUUAAUUUCAACAUUCUUCCUUUAUUUGGUUAUUGUUCCUCACUGUGUCAGAUUAAGAUUCUCAUGUACACGGCAUCCCUGAAAUGUGCACUGUAUUUGGAAUUGUGUUCCCACUCUGUUUUCCAGUCCUGCUUUAGUCAUUGAAGAGCAAGGGCCCCCUUUGAAUCAAUCACAAUGUCACAAAGAGCAUGAAAGCCA
This is a long non-coding RNA of Mauremys reevesii (Reeves's turtle), 970 nucleotides long. RefSeq lists it as uncharacterized. Lineage: Eukaryota; Metazoa; Chordata; Testudines; Geoemydidae. The transcript has 3 exons. The record is from RefSeq and is a predicted model, not a curated record.